UAAUGUCUGGGAAACUGCCUGAUGGAGGGGGAUAACUACUGGAAACGGUAGCUAAUACCGCAUAACGUCGCAAGACCAAAGUGGGGGGACCUUCGGGCCUCAUGCCAUCAGAUGUGCCCAGAUGGGAUUAGCUAGUAGGUGGGGUAAUGGCUCACCUAGGCGACGAUCCCUAGCUGGUCUGAGAGGAUGACCAGCCACACUGGAACUGAGACACGGUCCAG
Molecule: ribosomal RNA, 221 nt
Filed under: uncultured bacterium
Lineage: Bacteria
Description: partial 16S ribosomal RNA
Rfam family: Bacterial small subunit ribosomal RNA
Source: RNAcentral